UACUAGAUGUUGGAAAGAAAAUAAGGAAGACUCCUGUUGUGGUUGGAAAUUGCACAGGAUUUGCCGUCAACAGGAUGUUUUUCCCCUACACGCAAGCUGCUAUUUUGCUAGUUGAACGUGGCACGGAUCUUUAUCAGAUUGAUAGGGCAAUCACCAAAUUUGGAAUGCCAAUGGGUCCUUCCGGUUAUGUGAUCUGGUUGGUUUUGGUGUG
This 211-nucleotide unclassified non-coding RNA is filed under the name Hevea brasiliensis (rubber tree). The record is from RNAcentral. Lineage: Eukaryota; Viridiplantae; Streptophyta; Magnoliopsida; Malpighiales; Euphorbiaceae.